GAUGAAGAACGUAGCAAAAUGCGAUACUUGGUGUGAAUUGCAGAUUCCCGUGAACCAUCGAGUCUUUGAACGCAAGUUGCGCCCGAAGCCAUUAGGCCGAGGGCACGCCUGCCUGGGCGUCACACGUCGUUGCCCCCCCAUCUACUCCUUCGGGAUUGCGGGGGGCGGAUGAUGGCCUCCCGUGCGCCUCGUCGCGCGGUUGGCAUAAAUGCCAAGUCCUCGGCGACGCACGCCACGACAAUCGGUGGUUGCGAAACCUCGGUUGCCCGUCGUGUGCGGUCGUCGCGCAUCGAGGGCUCGAAAAAAUUGCCGGGCUCCGGCUCGGCUUUCAACGCGACCCCAGGUCAGGCGGGGUUACCCGCUGAAUUUAAGCAUAUCAAUAAGCGGAGGA
This 391-nucleotide unclassified non-coding RNA is filed under the name soil metagenome. RNAcentral's name for it is "partial contains 5.8S ribosomal RNA, internal transcribed spacer 2, and large subunit ribosomal RNA". The stretch from base 1 to 122 matches the Rfam family "5.8S ribosomal RNA", at positions 35 to 154 of the family's 154-position model. The record is from RNAcentral.